RNAcentral lists this ribosomal RNA (406 nucleotides) under uncultured bacterium. Its description in RNAcentral is "partial 16S ribosomal RNA". It matches the Rfam family "Bacterial small subunit ribosomal RNA", at positions 29 to 526 of the family's 1533-position model. The record is from RNAcentral.
AUUGAACGCUGGCGGCAGGCCUAACACAUGCAAGUCGAGCGAGCAGCGGACGGCUGAGUAAUGUCUGGGAAACUGCCUGAUGGAGGCGGAUAACUACUCGAAACGGCAGCUAAUACCGCAUACCAUCAGAUGGGCUCAGAUGGGAGUGGCUAGUAGGUGGGGUAACGGCUCACCUAGGCGGCGAUCCGUAUCUGGUCUGAGAGGAUGACCGGCCACCCUGGAACUGAGGCACGGUCCAGACUCGCACGGGAGGCAGGAAAGGGGAAUAUUGCACAAUGGGCGCAAGCCUGAUGCAGCCAUGCCGCGGGUGUGAGGAAGGCCUUCGGGUGGUAGAGCAGUUUCAGGGGGGAGGCGUUACCCGCAGAAGAAGCACCGGCUACCUCCGUGCCAGCAGCCGCGGUAAUAC